GAUGAACGCUAGCGGCAGGCCUAAUACAUGCAAGCCGAACGGCAAGUCUUUUAGUCAAUAGAAGACCUAGAGUGGCGUAAGGGUAGCGUAACACGUAUGCAAUCUGCCCUCAACAGGAGGAUAGCUCCCCGAAAGGGGAAUUAAGCCUCCAUAGGAUCGUAAUGUGGCAUCACAUAGCGAUUAAACUACCAGGGGUUGAGGAUGAGCAUGCGCAUGAUUAGUUAGUUGGCGGGGUAACGGCCCACCAAGACGAUGAUCAUUAGGGGAACUGAGAGGUUGAUCCCCCACACUGGCACUGAGAUACGGGCCAGACUCCUACGGGAGGCAGCAGUAGGGAAUAUUGGACAAUGGGUGCAAGCCUGAUCCAGCCAUGCCGCGUGCA
This 382-nucleotide ribosomal RNA is filed under the name uncultured bacterium. RNAcentral's name for it is "bacterial SSU rRNA". It matches the Rfam family "Bacterial small subunit ribosomal RNA", at positions 28 to 405 of the family's 1533-position model. The record is from RNAcentral.